UUUCAGGUGUUUAACCAUUUGCAGCUGCCUGGAAGCGACUCUAACUCCACCUGGAUAAACUGAUAUAAACCUGGGAUAAGCAGAUUGUAUUUCCUUUGCAAAUAUGUGUUGAAAUGAAUGGUUACCUGGGAAUGAACGUGAACUCUCUGCAUGGACCUAUUGCUACCUGGUGAUAAGCUACACAAUUCAACAUCCAGAAGAGAGCUUUGCAGUAUCAUCAUUUUCCUGGACAGAUGGCAAGGCUGGGCUCUUGGCAAGGAUCCUGCAGAGGGAAAAGUGGCAAGAUCUGGAGAGAAUACAUUUUCCCUCAAGAAUGGAAGAAAUGUUUGUCCUUGCAAAUAAAAUCCAAAAGAAACCAUGGUCACCAGGCCUUCUUGAGAGAGGACCACAUCGCAAUCCCAGGUCAGAGCCCUUGGAUUUGGAGGAAUGUCAACUCCAGCCUGAAUUUUUUAGAAAAUCUAGCAGAAAACAGAGCUGUUUCAUUUCAAGAAAUCAAGGCAGAUGAGUGAGUCUUCUAUUUACUUUUUUUAUCAGCCACGUGGUAGCUGGGAGCAAAAGGUAGCUACUUUGCUACUAAAGACACUGUAUAUCUGUGUAGGCAUGCUAAUUAAUGGUUUUCAGGUGCAAAGCUAUGUGUUUACUGCUAUAACAAUCAACUGUUGCUGCAAAUACUCACAAGAGGCUAACUGGGUCUGGACAACAGAGAUUUAAAAAUCAAAGCUGCUUUGUGCAUGUCUGUAAUGGGUACCUAUCUUAAAGAGUCAGCUCUGGAUAAAGAGGUUUCUUUUGUUGUGGCUUCAGAGCUGAGCUCUACAUUAAGUGAAAGCUAAGAACAAAAACAAUUUUCUCCUAAUUUUUUAUUAAGAAGUUAUUUGAUAGAUAUGUAACACAGGUUCAAAAACUCUCUGUGGAGCUUAUUAAGCAAGCUAUCUGUGCCACAGAUCCCGCAUGAGUAGCUGUGAGUUAAAAGAAGAGCAAGAGUUUUGAAAGUCAUUGACUUGAAAUCACCUGGUUCAAAGAACUGGCUUUCAGCAGUACAGAUGGCACCUAAUGAUAGCUCCCCUGCAGUGCAGGUAGGACACAUAGGGUAAAAGUCCUCUGUUUAGUGUAAAAAUCAAUGAUUUUCUCUAACGUGCUGCUGGGAUCUCUGGGACGGUACUCAUUUAUUCAGUUUGCUUAUGCUGUAAAUGGGAGGAUGAUCAGUGUUGAUGCAGCCCCAGUGUAUUGAGAAUGAAGGGAAAAGAGAGCUCAAGCAAUGUGGUGUGCUACCAGCCGAUCAGAUUAAUUAUUUAACAGAGAAAGCAGUUCAAAAUUAUCUGCUACAGAGUUUAUUGAACUUAAGUUGUCUUACAGUUUCUGGAUAAUCUCUAUUGAUCUGUGGUGGUUUAUACAUAUUCCUGUCCAGGUCCAUACCAUGUAUAUUUUAUUUCACCGUGGCAAAAUACCUAAUCUAUAUGUCCCUAGCAUCCUGUAUCACUUUGCUACAGCAACAUAAUUUCUGUGAAGUUAUGUUUGAAGAUCAUGCGUUCACAAUAGCUUGUGAAUUUGGGGGCACGGCUGGAUGUGGUAUGAAUGUCAAGAGUCCCGUUGUUUUUCAUUGAGCCAUCCUGAUUUACAUUAAGUAAGAACCUGGCUCUGCUGCUCUAAUGCUGUUACACUUUUUUGUGCUAUUCCAUCCCGAGUGUGCUGAGGGAGGUUUCUGGUUUCCAGCGCAUCAGGCACUAAAAUCCAACUGCCUGAUGUGGUGGUGACUUUCACAGUGGGCUGAACUUGUAAUCUGCCAUGUUACAUUAUGAACCGAGGGACAGAAAGUCCCCGUGAUUGUUAAGGGAGAUUAUAUUUUAAAGCCUGAUAUUCUUUUGGUACAGAUGCUUUAAAGGUCAUAUCUAAGACAGUAUGUGCUGCAGCAAGCUGGCACAGUGAGUAUGUAGCAGACGAAAGAAAGAACAAGCAUCAGUCAAGCAGAAUAAACAGCUUUUCUGAAGCUAAGGACACAGACUAGUAAAUUGGGUGUCCGUGAGAUACAGAGGAACGUCUAACAGUAGGAGUUGGAAAGCAAUGGCUUAGAAACACUGAGCUAUAUAAGGAGGGCCAGACUACACAUUAGGAUUCCACAGAAAGGCCCUAAAAGGUCAAUUUGACAAGCUGAAUAUGGAUAAUGAGUUGAGACAGAUGGUAUAAGAGUAUGGUAGCUAAUAAAUAAUGAACAGACUUGCUUCAAGGAGCAAAAGGAGGGAGAAAUCGCAGCUGAGAGCUUAGUCAGAAGGGAGGAGGUGAAGGGGAAAAGAACAAAACCGUGGAUGAUGGGAGAGGAUCACAGCAGGAGGACUAGUGGGAGAAGUGUCUGAUUUUGAGUGCCAGAACUCGUGGAGAUGGUAAUUUACGCAGAGACAUCUUAGAAAUGCAUAUGCGUGAACUGGAAUUUGGCCAUCUUGUUGAGAUUAACUUCUUUUUGCUGGAGAAACACUCAUGGCCUAUAAGCCUCUCCUAGAUGCCUAUUCCCCCUCCUCUCCUAUUAUUGCAGUACCUAAGCAUCUUACAGUGCUUGCACAUCCUCUGUGAGGCAAGGGAAAGUUCUCAGGCUUGUUUAGCAUAUCACAACCUGAGGCAAAGAGAGACUAAAGCUUCACUUACGCACCAAAGUGCUCUGCACUGUCCCUGAGUCCCAAGGACCCUAUAGACCAGCAAGCUGAGGCUUCCUUCAGCUUUCACACCCAGCCAUCUUUGACACGACCAAGAUAAAGGUGAGCAUUGCUGCCCCACAAAUCUCUUCCUAAUGUGAAGCUGAAGCACAAACCCUGACCUGGAUACCAAGCAGCACUCCCAGAUAUCCCAAAGCAGAUGUAAAUCAGGGAGCUUUCUUAGGGUCACCCAGGGAAGCCACACCAGUGUCAAACAUUGAACCCACGUUUCCAUUAUGUCCUUGUCUUUUUCAGUAUUUUAGAGCUAGAGUCUCUGGGGCUUUAUUGCUUAUUAAUGAACCAACCCCUCCUUCAGCAUUGUACCUGGCAGUAUAAACCAACAGGUAAUUUAGUGCUGAUUCAGAAAUAACUGUGCCCUGGUGACCUCCAAUGAGUUUGAGCAUUUCCAUGUGUACAUGCCCUUGGACAGCUUCGAACUUUCCUGGGCUUGG
Long non-coding RNA from Anas platyrhynchos (mallard), 3133 nucleotides. RefSeq lists it as uncharacterized. The record is from RefSeq and is a predicted model, not a curated record. Lineage: Eukaryota; Metazoa; Chordata; Aves; Anseriformes; Anatidae.